GAUGAAGAACGUAGCGAAAUGCGAUAAGUAAUGUGAAUUGCAGAAUUCAGUGAAUCAUCGAAUCUUUGAACGCACAUUGCGCCCGCCAGUAUUCUGGCGGGCAUGCCUGUUCGAGCGUCAUUUCAACCAUCAAGCCCCGGGCUUGUGUUGGGGGCCUGCGGCUGCCGCAGGCCCUGAAAUGCAGUGGCGGGCUCGCUGUCACUCCGAGCGUAGUAGUUACAUCUCGCUCUGGGCGUGCUGCGGGUUCCGGCCGUUAAAAGCCUUAUUUACCCAAGGUUGACCUCGGAUCAGGUAGGAAGACCCGCUGAACUUAAGCAUAUCAAUAAGCGGAGGA
RNAcentral lists this unclassified non-coding RNA (334 nucleotides) under soil metagenome. RNAcentral describes it as "partial contains 5.8S ribosomal RNA, internal transcribed spacer 2, and large subunit ribosomal RNA". The stretch from base 1 to 120 matches the Rfam family "5.8S ribosomal RNA", at positions 35 to 154 of the family's 154-position model. The record is from RNAcentral.